AUUGAACGCUGGCGGUAUGCUUAAGACAUGCAAGUCGUGCGGUAGAAGGCUUCGGCCUUUGAGAGCGGCGGACGGGUGAGUAACACGUGGGAAUCUGCCUAUUAGUGGGGGACAGCCCAGCGAAAGCUGGAUUAAUACCGCAUACGCCCUACCGGGGAAAGGACAGCAAUGCGCUAAUAGAUGAGCCCGCGUAAGAUUAGCUAGUUGGUAAGGUAAAGGACGUUACCAAGGCGACGAUCUUUAGCUGGUCUGAGAGGAUGGCCAGCCACAUCGGGACUGAGACACGGCCCGGACUCCUACGGGAGGCAGCAGUCGGGAAUAUUGGACAAUGGGCGCAAGCCUGAUCCAGCAAUACCGCGUGUGUGAAGAAGGCCUGCGGGUUGUAAAGCACUUUC
Molecule: ribosomal RNA, 395 nt
Filed under: uncultured bacterium
Lineage: Bacteria
Description: bacterial SSU rRNA
Rfam family: Bacterial small subunit ribosomal RNA
Source: RNAcentral